This is a long non-coding RNA of Oreochromis niloticus (Nile tilapia), 640 nucleotides long. RefSeq lists it as uncharacterized. NCBI's taxonomy places the organism in Eukaryota, Metazoa, Chordata, Actinopteri, Cichliformes, Cichlidae. The record is from RefSeq and is a predicted model, not a curated record. The transcript is spliced from 3 exons.
GGAAUUACGCACGACUCCUCUGAGCUUGGGUGGAGCUCUGAAUAAUGUGAAAGAGGCGAAGAUUGGAAGGAAGUGUUUUGAGUAAAGGAGUCUGGAAGGGAGAAUGACAAAUAAGCAGUGAGGCUGAUUGGCUUAAAGAUGGAGGGCAGAGAGAUGAUUGGUACAGACCAGUGAUGUCAGCAAUGAGGUUGAUGGUAUGACAAAGUGGAAGUGAUGAAAAGCAAAUACUAGCCAGUGAACACCAAGGUAGUAAACAGAUGUAUAGUUACAGAUCUUCCUUAUUGAACUUACGCAUACGCUUCAUUAGUACUCAAUGCAAAUAACUUCUUCCAUGAUUAUCUCCGCACAAAGGAAAAACACAAGAGCAUAUCACCCAGGUGUCAGCGAGGAAUUCACAGGCAACAAACUGCAAAGGAGACAUAUUUUAAAUGUGAAAAUGAUUUUGAUCUAUGUGAUCAUCGUAGCUUUGGCAGUGACUGUUGUGGGACAAGGGUCUUCAGAAUGCAAUCUAACUGAACCUGGACCCCAGACGUGUUUUGGAGUUUUAGGAGAACCACUUGUUUUUUACAUACCUAACAAGCCACAUAUAAAGACAAGCUUGAAAAAGAGUCCAGAUAACAUUUUAACCUUAAAAAAUGAU